RNAcentral lists this long non-coding RNA (663 nucleotides) under Homo sapiens (human). RNAcentral's name for it is "HSALNT0108614". Lineage: Eukaryota; Metazoa; Chordata; Mammalia; Primates; Hominidae. The record is from RNAcentral.
AGCUUCUCAUCUUGCAUUCAUGAUGGGGGCGAGGGAGUGGAGAGGAGGCUGAGGCACCACGACAGAAAACCCUCACCUGGGAGGGGUGCCGAAGGCGGCUAAUGAAGUCACCUUGAUUCGUGUCCUUUUUCCCUGACCUUACUUUCCCUUCCGUCUAUUCCUCUCGCCCCAGGCCGUUACUGGGUAGAUGUAAGGAGUGGAGAGGCUGGGGAAGUGACCAGAGACUCGUGGGUUAGACCCGUCUUGGGUUCUUAGUCACCACCUCUAACCCUGUCGGUCAUUGAUGAGGCUCUUCGUCAGAUUGGGCAGAGGACGAUAAGCACUGCUUCCCGCAGGCAUUUUAAAAAUAAAGUUCCGGAGAAGCAAAAACUGUUCCAGGAGGAUGAUGAAAUUCCACUGUAUCUAAAGGGUGGGGUAGCUGAUGCCCUCCUGUAUAGAGCCACCAUGAUUCUUACAGUUGGUGGAACAGCAUAUGCCAUAUAUGAGCUGGCUGUGGCUUCAUUUCCCAAGAAGCAGGAGUGACUUCAGUCAUCCCAGCAAUCGCUUGGUUCAGUUUCAUUCAGCUCUCUAUGGACCAGUAAUCUGAUAAAUAACCGAGCUCUUCUUUGGGGAUCAAUAUUUAUUGACUUGUAGUAACUGCCACCAAUAAAGCAGUCUUUACCA